Long non-coding RNA from Alosa sapidissima (American shad), 290 nucleotides. RefSeq lists it as uncharacterized. The transcript has 4 exons. NCBI's taxonomy places the organism in Eukaryota, Metazoa, Chordata, Actinopteri, Clupeiformes, Clupeidae. The record is from RefSeq and is a predicted model, not a curated record.
UCACCCCUAGUUGACAGUUUACUUUCUGGAACAACUAAAAGUCCCAGGCUGGAGGAUCUGAGGGGCCGAGCUGGACAGUAGGGGGUUAAUAAAUCUGUUAAAUAGUCAGGUGCCAAACCAUGUAAUGCUUUAUAGGUAAUAAGGAGGAUUUUAAAAUCAAUCCUAAAACUCACUGGCAACCAGUGAAGAUUGGCCAGAACUGGGGUGAUGUGUUCCCUAAAUUUAGACUUUGUCAAAAGUCUGGCUGCUGAAUUCUGAACAGUUUAAAGUAGCAGCAGACAGCUUCAGUA